UGGCUUUACAGGUCCUUAACAACAAUUGAUUGCUCUGUUGGCUUAAGUUAAUCGAAUUUAUGAAUUUACCGACGCAAUGCAAUACAAAUUUCUCGCUACAAAAAAUUAAAGAAAAGCGAAUUUGCCUCUUCUACACAAUAUACACGAUAUUUUUGCCUAAAUGGGAGUUUGUGACUUUUCUAUCAUAUUUUAUAACGAGUUGCUUAGUAUAUACAACCGAAUUUUAAAUUAUUGUAAAUUAAAGAUGUGUAGCUUAUGCAAAUGCUGUAUAAAAUUGGGUUGCCAACUGCUUUGUGUGUUGUUUUGUUCGAUUUUCGGGGUACUUUUAAUUCUGGCACUGGUUAUCUAUUUUGUAUGCUUCCAUAACAAGGGCGAUAGUUCCAAGUCCGAUGUCAAGGUGCUGAGUGACUUUUCUCUCUAAAAUUGCGACCUCAACAUUAUAAAGGUUUCUGCAUUUUUUUCUAUAUUUUGCUAAAACAAAUUUGAAUGCCACAGGUAAUAAUCUAUAAAUGAAAAAGGUUCCGGAUUCAUGUGGAAGUCUUCUGAAUAAAUAAUAGAUUUUGUCUAGUA
Drosophila montana is the source of this 570-nucleotide long non-coding RNA. RefSeq lists it as uncharacterized. NCBI's taxonomy places the organism in Eukaryota, Metazoa, Arthropoda, Insecta, Diptera, Drosophilidae. The record is from RefSeq and is a predicted model, not a curated record. The transcript has 2 exons.